Molecule: long non-coding RNA, 524 nt
Organism: Lactuca sativa (garden lettuce)
Lineage: Eukaryota; Viridiplantae; Streptophyta; Magnoliopsida; Asterales; Asteraceae
Source: RefSeq, a predicted model, not a curated record
GGAAGGAACGACGAUGUGUCAGAGUCUGGUCGGGUAAUUGAAUCAACAAUACGAGAGUUCUAUUGGGAAAAAUGGUAGCUCUCUCGGUCGUUAUGGCUUUUUUGCCUUCGUCAUUUUGGGGAUCCCUUCGUCGGCUUCGAAUACUCUUGCUUAGGAUCUUCUUCGUCGCUUCUAACUAAGGUCCAAUGUUUUGAUUUAGGAGUUCAUAGCAGGAACAUCACAUGAAGCACUUUGAUUAGGGUUUAAUUCCCCCAAUUAGAAGGGUUUACCUUCGGUUUCCCCCACCUUCCGUUCUAAUGACUUUUGCUAUCUCAUGUAUCCAUCAAGUGUGAAAUAGUGAUUAUAAGUUUUCUGGUGGAUUCGAUUGGUCACGAGAACGACUUUUACAAAAAGGGACUUUAGGUGUUGAUGUUGAUAGUGUAAUUGUAUAAGUUGGUAAUGUUUUAUGUUUCAUCAAUUCUUGAUUUAUCGAAAAAAAGGCUUACAUCUUUAUAUCCAUAUGUUGCACAUGUAUUGAAUUUGGG